CAGCCUCCGCCGAGGCCGGGGGCGCGGGGCAGCUGGGGCCACCGUGCCGCGCGAGGGGGAGGCGGAUCUGUUCCCUUCACGUCUUGGCCAGAUCCCCGAUCCCCGAUCGCCUUGGGCUGGGGACCGGCGGGAUUCUGGAGAGCAUCAGACGGGGUCCCAACCCCGCGACGGAGCAGAGCGGAAGACCGAGAGAAACACGGGAGGCGCUGGGGACCCGGACACCUGCCCUCCCCGCGUCUCUCCACCCUCUACUCCAUCCCUGGACAGCAACCGGAGACCGGGUCUCAAGGGGGAUCACCAAGAGACAGAACUGACCUGUCUGUUGGUGUCUGGAAAGCGCCACGACAGUGGGGAGAGGAUGUUGAAGAAAUUUCAGUGUGUCCCUGAGUGUGGGCUCCCCCUUGCCACCUGAAGUUAGCCAGACUGGCCACCUGCUACAGGGAAUGCUUUCAGACCACUGGAAAGAAGCCUAAGGCAUAGGAGCCCCAGAUGCAGGAUGGAAAGGUGAGUUUUAAGGUCACAGCAGGUGGCCCUGCAAUCCUAUUGUGGAGCUGGGAAUGGCAGGUCGGAACUCCCAGCAGCUG
Molecule: long non-coding RNA, 584 nt
Filed under: Bos mutus (wild yak)
Lineage: Eukaryota; Metazoa; Chordata; Mammalia; Artiodactyla; Bovidae
Description: lncRNA (ENSBMUG00000018294.1)
Source: RNAcentral